This 436-nucleotide ribosomal RNA is filed under the name uncultured bacterium. RNAcentral describes it as "bacterial SSU rRNA". It matches the Rfam family "Bacterial small subunit ribosomal RNA", at positions 335 to 762 of the family's 1533-position model. The record is from RNAcentral.
ACUCCUACGGGAGGCAGCAGUAGGGAAUCUUCCACAAUGGGCGCAAGCCUGAUGGAGCAACACCGCGUGAGUGAAGAAGGGUUUCGGCUCGUAAAGCUCUGUUGUUAAAGAAGAACACGUAUGAGAGUAACUGUUCAUACGUUGACGGUAUUUAACCAGAAAGUCACGGCUAACUACGUGCCAGCAGCCGCGGUAAUACGUAGGUGGCAAGCGUUAUCCGGAUUUAUUGGGGCGUAAAGAGAGUGCAGGCGGUUUUCUAAGUCUGAUGUGAAAGCCUUCGGCUUAACCGGAGAAGUGCAUCGGAAACUGGAUAACUUGAGUGCAGAAGAGGGUAGUGGAACUCCAUGUGUAGCGGUGGAAUGCGUAGAUAUAUGGAAGAACACCAGUGGCGAAGGCGGCUACCUGGUCUGCAACUGACGCUGAGACUCGAAAGCAU